This 887-nucleotide ribosomal RNA is filed under the name uncultured organism. Its description in RNAcentral is "bacterial SSU rRNA". It matches the Rfam family "Bacterial small subunit ribosomal RNA", at positions 1 to 938 of the family's 1533-position model. The record is from RNAcentral.
UAGAGUCUGACCUGGCUCAGGAUGAACGCUGGCGGUCUGCUUAACACAUGCAAGUCGAACGGGCUCUUCGGAGCUAGUGGCGGACGGGUGAGUAACGCGUGAGGAUCUGCCUUCAGGAGGGGGAUAACGACUGGAAACGGUCGCUAAUACCGCAUAUGCCUACGGGUGAAAGAUUUAUCGCCUGGAGAUGAACUCGCGUCAGAUUAGCUAGUUGGUGGGGUAAGAGCCUACCAAGGCGACGAUCUGUAGCUGGUCUGAGAGGAUGAUCAGCCACACUGGGACUGAGACACGGCCCAGACUCCUACGGGAGGCAGCAGUGGGGAAUUUUCCGCAAUGGGCGCAAGCCUGACGGAGCAAGACCGCGUGCGGGAUGACGGCCUAAUGGUUGUAAACCGCUUUUCUCUGGGAAGAUGAUGACGGUACCAGAGGAAUCAGCCUCGGCUAACUCCGUGCCAGCAGCCGCGGUAAUACGGAGGAGGCAAGCGUUAUCCGGAAUUAUUGGGCGUAAAGCGUCCGUAGGUGGUUAUUCAAGUCUGCUGUCAAAGCGUGGGGCUUAACUCCAUAGAGGCAGUGGAAACUGGAUGACUUGAGUGCGGUAGGGGUCGAGGGAAUUCCCAGUGUAGCGGUGAAAUGCGUAGAUAUUGGGAAGAACACCAGUGGCGAAAGCGCUCGACUGGGCCUGCACUGACACUGAGGGACGAAAGCUAGGGGAGCGAAAGGGAUUAGAUACCCCUGUAGUCCUAGCCGUAAACGAUGGAUACUAGGUGUUGCUCGUCAUCGACCCGAGCAGUGCCGUAGCCAACGCGUUAAGUAUCCCGCCUGGGGAGUACGCUCGCAAGAGUGAAACUCCAAAGGAAUUUGACGGGGGCCCGAACAAGCGGUGGAGU